UUUUUCAGAGGUAUCUUUUAGAAAGACAAGAGCAUGUCCACUCUUGCAAAAGAUGCCAGUGGCAAGCUUAAAUGACUAAUUCUAUAUUUAUAAAGAGACAAGCCUCCAUAAUGUCAAACGACAGAGUUUUCACUGAUUUACUAGCAAAUUGAACUUUCACUAUAAGAGAAAAUAAUUUCUCAAAAUCUGGAUCUUAUAAAUUAAUCCAGUCCUUCUUGAAAACCAUUUUAAAAAGACAACGCCAACCUUAAGUUUCAAUGAUUCAUUGCCUCGUAAAAAUUUGAGGUGAAUAUGUCUGAUAGCAAAUUUCCGGAACAAGAACCCUAUUACAACACAACCUAAAAAUCCACUGUCGUGGGCACUAAACAGUUAGGCUGCUGUCGGGAAGCCGCGCUCAGAGUAUCCAUCAACACAAAUACUGACAGCAGAGUCUGCCCACCAAGCUUACAGGGCCAAC
Molecule: long non-coding RNA, 457 nt
Filed under: Bos taurus (domestic cattle)
Lineage: Eukaryota; Metazoa; Chordata; Mammalia; Artiodactyla; Bovidae
Description: long non-coding RNA NONBTAT006862
Source: RNAcentral